GACGAACGCUGGCGGCGUGCUUAACACAUGCAAGUCGAACGGAAAGGCCCUGCUUUUGUGGGGUGCUCGAGUGGCGAACGGGUGAGUAACACGUGAGUAACCUGCCUUUGCCUUUGGGAUAACUUCAGGAAACUGGGGCUAAUACAGGCUAGGAGCUCCUGUUCCAUGGUGUGGGUUGGAAAGUUUCGGCGGUUGGGGAUGGACUCGCGGCUUAUCAGCUUGUUGGUGGGGUAGUGGCUUACCAAGGCUUUGACGGGUAGCCGGCCUGAGAGGGUGACCGGCCACAUUGGGACUGAGAUACGGCCCAGACUCCUACGGGAGGCAGCAGUGGGGAAUAGUGCACAAUGGGCGGAAGCCUGAUGCAGCAACGCCGCGUGCGGGAUGACGGCCUUCGGGUUGUAAACCGCUUUCGCCUGUGACGAAGCGUGAGUGACGGUAAUGGGUAAAGAAGCACCGGCUAACUACGUG
Molecule: ribosomal RNA, 468 nt
Filed under: uncultured bacterium
Lineage: Bacteria
Description: partial 16S ribosomal RNA
Rfam family: Bacterial small subunit ribosomal RNA
Source: RNAcentral